CUUGUCUCCCAAACUCAUACCUUCUGUACGAAAACACCUGUUUUUGAAGUCUUUCUUACGCGCAUCCGUCUCUUCUUCCGUUUCUACCGCAACGGGUCGAUUUCUCGCAUCUCAGCUAGCUCGGGACUGUAGAUUUUGCCGAAGAAGCACCCGGUUUGGUGCCAUAAUUGGGAGGAUCGAUAGAUCCUUGCUGGGUUGUGCCUUCGAUCGUUAAAAUCUUGGUACUUGUCAUCCAUGAUGAGAAUUACACCGAACUUGUUGAUCUUUUGUCAGGGUUGUGCUGGAGCAAAGAGCAAUCAACAAAUAAAACUUGCAGCACGGAAGGAAUGUAAUAAGUUUGAAGAGUUGUCCAUUCUUAAAACAUGACACAUAUGUUUUCACUUAAUUUUUAUAUAGUUUUAGCCAUUUGUGCAAUUCCCAUUGAGUAAAGUUUGACAGCAUGCACUGUGGUUAUUAAAAGCUCACUAGUAUAAUCCAGAAGCUUGGUUUCCUAGCUAACUUUAAGGUAUCUAGUCAUAUAAUCUAGGUUCUUGGUGCUUCCUAUCCUCAUGUCUCUUCCCUAAAUUAUUUCUUUAACUUCUCUACUUUUUUCUGUCUAAUUUGUAUUUCAAUGAAUAGGAUUUUAAGAUCCAGAAUAUUCUUAGUUCAUGUGAGGGCCCUGCCUCUUCUCAUGGUGUUUUCUGCGGUGCAAGUUUAUCAAUCUUCUAUGUGCUUGAGAACAAUUUACUUAUGUAUCUAUCUCCACAUGAUGUCUUGUUUUUCCAUUAUUCCAUUUUAAUUCUUAAGCAAAUUGUUUAGUGGUUAAUAUUCUAUUAUACUAUUUCCAUUUUGAGCCUAGAGAACCACAUUGGCUUAUCAGUGACUCUAUGCUCAUGCUCAAUUUCUUAUGUUAGUCACAGAGAUUAUAUUUCAUUCGAGUAACUUUGUUAUAUAUGCUUCAAUCUAAUGAAGCAUCAAAGUUCUGGAAGUUUUUCUUGCUGAAAUUAUACAUACCCAUCUGGAACCUAAAAACAGCUGCUUUUGUGCACAAACCAGCGAUUUUUCCUGGUUUGAUAUUGCGUAUGAAAAAAAUCAAAGAUGGUACUUUUCAUUUUUGCUUAUGGAAAAAUUGUUCUCACUGGGGCUAAGGUAAUGUUCUUAAAGCAAUUUCAAAUACAUGAGUCAUGCAUAUCUCUCUUUUAUUCAUCAUCUUCAAUCCAAUUCAGGUUCAAGAUGAGGCACAUGCUGCAUUUGAGAAUUUACCAGUCCAUGCAGAAAUCAGAAAGAACCAGCAAUGGUAUGGUAGAUUGUUGCAUUGGAAAGGUUCCAUUUAGUUUCUAUAUGCUCAAUCAAAAAGCAAAGGGAAAAGACUUGUGAUUUGAUGCAACCUUGCCUUGUGACAAUUUGUUGUUUUAAUACAUUGGAAUGCACUGGGAAACUUCUCACUUGAAACUUUCCUAGCAGAUGAUUCAUAGCUGCUGCCUGGAAUGGAAUUUUCAACUACAACAUAUGUAAAUAUUAAAUGGCACAUCAUCCUUUAUAGGUUGUAUAUGACCUACAGUUUUCUUGCUUUUGAUCUACUGCUUGUGCAGCACUUAGAAUGAAGUAAAUUAGCCUUAAAAUGUCUCUAA
Long non-coding RNA from Musa acuminata AAA Group (dessert banana), 1610 nucleotides. RefSeq lists it as uncharacterized. The transcript is spliced from 2 exons. Lineage: Eukaryota; Viridiplantae; Streptophyta; Magnoliopsida; Zingiberales; Musaceae. The record is from RefSeq and is a predicted model, not a curated record.